UACGAAGGGGGCUAGCGUUGUUCGGAAUUACUGGGCGUAAAGGGCGCGUAGGCGGCCUUCUAAGUCAGACGUGAAAUCCCCCGGCUUAACCUGGGAACUGCGUCUGAUACUGGGAGGCUUGAGUAUGGGAGAGGGAUGUAGAAUUCCAGGUGUAGCGGUGAAAUGCGUAGAUAUCUGGAGGAAUACCGGUGGCGAAGGCGGCAUCCUGGACCGACACUGACGCUGAGGAGCGAAAGCCAGGGGAGCAAACGGG
This 253-nucleotide ribosomal RNA is filed under the name uncultured bacterium. RNAcentral describes it as "partial 16S ribosomal RNA". It matches the Rfam family "Bacterial small subunit ribosomal RNA", at positions 524 to 776 of the family's 1533-position model. The record is from RNAcentral.